Molecule: long non-coding RNA, 1037 nt
Organism: Carassius gibelio (silver crucian carp)
Lineage: Eukaryota; Metazoa; Chordata; Actinopteri; Cypriniformes; Cyprinidae
Exons: 3
Source: RefSeq, a predicted model, not a curated record
UUUUUUCCUUUCCCCACUAGAACCAGCUCGGUUCAGCCUGAGCAUUCCGGUGGUUGCCAUGGCAACUGAGCAUCAUCCCUCCCCAUCAAGCCCUUGUUGAGUGGAGCCCGUGCUGUCAGUCUGAUUUAUACGUGUGGUGGCAGGAUCCCGGCGCGUGUGAUUGGUCCGCGAGAAGCGUGAUCUGUUUGUUCUCGGGUGAUUGAAGGGUCAGCCGGCUUCCUCAUUGGCCAGGAGUCCAGCAGCGGAGGGAGGCACGCCCUCGGUUUCGGCGAGGGAACAUUUACUUACCAAUAGUCCUUUGUUGUUGGUCAUGCUCUUCUUGAUAGAGCGAUUAAGAAGUUUCUCACAGCAAGGAUUUACACAAGCUCCAGUCUGGAUCCAGAACACCUGAGAAGAGAUGAAAUCCAUGUAUCCAAGAAUAAUUUUUUCUGCAUAUUUCUGCCAAAUGUACAUUUAACUGAGUCACCACUACUACUAAAUAUAUUGUAAUUGACUGUAAUAUACAAAUAAACUUGAACUGAACUAAAUUGAACAGUAUAAAUUAUUUCAAGAGACCAGUGGUGACCUGGAACAGAAAAUUGAAUGAGAAAUGCAAUGAGUAACACCAAGCCAGGGCACUGUUGGUGGUUUUCCUGUGCACUGGAGAUGGAGGUCAAAACAUACAUUUAGAUUUUGUUGCUUCAGAGAGAAGUAGCCACCCAAAAAAAGUCAAAGGCCAGGUCACUCUUCAUGGUGAAGUUCUAGGUUUCAGCUUUACCUUAUGUGCUUUUGGAAGCAGCUGCAAAAUCUAGGAGAUCUGCUGUUUAAUAAAUUAAAUUGAAGACAACUUAUGCCAGGUUGAUGAAACUGUUGGACUUUAUGCACUGUCAUGGAAGCACUAUCCUUAGUUCACUUCAUCUAUUCAGAGAAGCACCUGAAUUAUUUUCAAACUCAGAAAAUGAGCAUUAUUCCCUUCAAAAAGGUUGACCAGAGACGCUUGUAACAUGUAUGCAAAUGGCUCCCUCUAGUGGGGAAAAUCUUCCAGUGCAGCAGCUGAA